AGGAAGUGUAGUUCUGCUCUAACCAUCCAUGUGAAUGAUGCAACGAAGGCCAUCUCCUUUGAGCAUGUAGUCAAAGGCCUUGUUGAUCUCAGAGAAAGGUACACUGUGUGUGAUGAACUUUUCCAACUCUAGCUCCUGCACCAUGGAACCAAAUUUUCAAAAAAAGAUCAGGAGAGUCCAAUUGCAGGCACAUUUCUAAAGGACUAAUCAUGACUGCUGAAUAAUUGUCGAUAAGCUUCUGAAUUUCCAUUCAUCAAUACCUCUGCAUAAUUUAGCUAGUUGUACCAUAAGAAAGAUUGUUUUUUAACAGAGUGCAAAGCAUGAGAAAUCAAAACCAUGUAUUUACCUUGUUCAUAUACUUCUCCACAACCAAAGGAAGGUCAGUGCGUGGUUUAUAGUUUCCGAAGAAGGUUCCCUUAAGAGUCCUUUCAGUCAGAAAGUUUAUAGGGUGGGUCUUGAAUUGGGCUUCUUUGUGAGGCACCCCAACCAGCACAGCAACACCCCAACCCUGACAUUCAAGGUCACAUUUUUAGCAUAUCAUAAUAAUACCGAAACAAAUUAUUAGUGCACAAGGCUCUUGAACUGCUUGUAAAGGGAGUCGGAAGAUACAUCGUGAACACAUUCGAAUGCAGAUAUCAUGGCAUUUACGUUACCAGUGCAUUCAACGCUCCUAUCAACUCCACCGCCAGUCAUUUCAGCAAGCACCUGAAAAAUUGCCAUCGCAUACUAGUUGUUUUGGCAAUAUAGCUGGUAUUCAAAACACCUAAUUUAACUUGCAAUAUAUUACUAGCACCAUAAUUCAUUUGCCAGAAUAUGAAAGUUUAGUAUUGAUCAAACCUCUUGGACUGGCCUGUCAUAGUCCAUUGGAUUCACAAACUCAGUGACGCCGAACUUCUUUGCUGGUGGCACGAAGGGGGAUUUUUAGCACCAAAUUUUGAAUAAGUUCAGUAGAAAUCAGAUGUCAACAGAUUAGACUAUGAAUAGAAAUAUAGAAUACCGCAUAGUUUUGAAGAAAAACAUGCCAGAAGUUUGGUGCUUAUGUCAAUAAAGGUUAAAUUGGCCCUACACUAGUUUUGUUGAUAUGGCAAGACAUUCUAUAAUCAAAGGAAGCAGCUCUUCACCUUCAUUAAAUUUUGUAGGAUUUCUAUCAACACCAAUAAUCCUUGAUGCUCCUGCAAUCCUGGCCCCUUCAGCAGCCUAUUAAUAUGAAGGCAUAAAUCAAAUAUAACUGUUUGCCUAAUCUUUGUUUGAUAAAUCAAAUAUAAAUAAAAUUAAAACAAUACUAAAUGGAGAUGAUGUAUCAUGAAGCAUGAACCAGAGGGCCAUGCAAGUACACAUUUAGAGCUCUAUAAAUUAGAUAACUGAAAUAGGAAAGAUACUCACAGCAAGGCCUACAGCACCCAAUCCAAAAAUUGCCACUGUUGAACCCUUUGGUGGUUUUGCAACAUUUAGAGUUGCACCAAGACCUUAGAAAGAAAACAAUAUGGGGAAUUUCAUGUGUCUGUUUUGGACAUUCUGUAUACAUGACAAUCUUGGUGUCUCACCUGUUGAAAUGCCACAGCUAAGAACACAAACUUUAUCAAGGGGAGCCAGGGGGUCAAUCUUGGCAACACAGCCUGAGUGGACGACAGUGUACUCACUGAAAGUGGAGGUUCCUAGAAAAUGAUAAAUUGGUUCUCCAUUGAUAGAGAACCUGGAUUGCCCAUCACUGAUCAUCACCCCUCUUUCGGUGUUAAUCCUAAGGAGAUCACACAUAUUGCUCUCCUCAUGCUUACAGUGAGCACACUCCUUACAUUCACCAGUGAAUACAGGGAGCACAUGGUCUCCUGGUGCAAGAUCUGUUACGCCUUCACCAACACUCUCCACAAUCCUAAUAUCACCAUAUGAUGAAAAAGAAAAAUGAAUAAAUAUACUGAAUAGAAAAAGUUUAUUAAAUUAGCAUUCUGGAUGAAAGAAAACUGGUGGUUCCCUGUGAACAGAAUUUAUUUACCAAUCUUUAAAAAAAGAUCUCAAUUAAAAGCUUUCAGAAACUAAUAAUGGUUGCAGAAAUAUAAGACCAUUAUGAGUGUUGCUCAAUUUGGUAUCAAGCUUUCAAUCUACCAUGACCUUGUCAUUAAGUCAAAUGUCUCAUGUAUCAAAGUGGCAACAGAGAGCAACACCUUUAAUCAAGCAGAUGAACUUCUAUUAAUCCCUUUGCAACUAUAAUCUUUUUAAAAAAGAGGAGGGAAAUAGAGACCAGGUUUAGCAUGCUAUAUUGGUCGUAUGAGUUGCAUGGGUAUUAAUUGAGAUCACUUUGGUUGUAUAAAUUUGAAAUCUCAUCUAAGAAAUCAUUAAAGAAAGCAACCUAAAUAAGAACAGUUACUGACAAACAGAUUUAUGCAAAAAUAAGACUAUGGAAGCCAUACCCUCCUGCUUCAUGGCCAAAGAUUCGAGGAAACAAGGGAGUUUGGCCCUGCAAAUUAUAAAACAAACAGAAUUGUAGAAUCUUAACAAACUGUCAUGAACACAGAAAAUAAAGCUGAUAGAGCUAUAUGACCAACAUAUUUGCUCUCUCUCUUUCAUUUAAAUGUUAAGUGGCAGGCAGAGGAAAUUCUUGUGAAGAAAAAGAAUACUGGUUUUUAUAAUAUAUGUGAAUAAAAAUACCUUGGCUUCCCAGAAGUACACAUCAGUGUGGCAGAGGGAAGUGUAGAGGAUCUUCAGCCGGACCUCCAUUUCUUUUGGAGGUGCAACCUCGACCUCCUCGAUCACUAAUGGCUUCCCAGCCUCCCAUGCAACUGCCGCUGUAUAUGAAACAAAAAUUAAUAAUGCAACGCAAAGACCAGUAUGAUAAAUCAAUUGUUUCUAACUAUUUUUUCUAAGAAGAAAUUGUUCUGGCAGUAUAUUAAUUUCUUUGAUUAAGAAAACAUAAACAUCUACCAGAAGUUACUAGGACUGCAAGGGGAUUGAUGGAAUUGAAUUUUUUAGUAUAUUUUAUUUAUGAUGGAUUUUAGGUGAUUAUGAUUGACAAGCUUUGCGUUAUCGAGGGCAACAUCCUUCAGUAGCAUGAUCAUAUUAUGUCUUGGAUUUAGGACGUGACAUUUUAUGAUAUCAGAGUCUUAAUUAUGAUCACUUGUGACUGCGAUAUAAGUGAUUGGGACAUGAUAUAAGUAAUAUUAGAGCUUAGGUUAUGAUCAAUAGGGACUAUGACUUAAGUGAAAUUUAAGUAUAAAGUUAUGAUCAUUAAAAAUAUGAUAAAAGUAGCAGAAAGAAUUUGAAGUCUGAAUUUUGGAUCAAUAGGUACAGUGAUAAAAUUUAUGCAUAAGUGGUAUAUGAUGUGCAUAACGGAACUGAUGAGUUAUAUCUCAGAUUUGAAUAAGUAGGGUUUGACCUAAAUAUGAGAGGUGUUGACUCUGGAAUAAAGUGGGAUAUGUUGAUAUAUUAUAUUGAGUAUACUUGUUCAAAUGUUAUUUAGGUAAUUUUGGAAUUCUAAAUUUGAUAUGGGUGAAGAAUAUGAUGACUUUUCCAAUUUUGAUGUUAAUUAUUUAAUCAUUACAAUUUUGAGAUUAUUAGAAGAAGUUUAUUUAGGAUGUGGCCUCAGAAAGAAUUGCAUCAUACAAGAGAAUUGUUUUUUCCAGCAUUGAAUCUAUAAGAGGAUCAUGUAUUAAACUCGCAUGUAAAUGAAAAACAUAUUUGGUUUUAUUGACGAAUUGGAUUUUAUUAUGAGAGCAUGAUAUAUACAUUUUGAUGGAAUCUUUAAUAAUUUUUAUUACCAUCUUUGAAUUGGAUUACUUGAUCUUCUUUAUAUUUGUUGAGAUAGUGAGGUGUAUUAAUUAUUUUAAGUCAAAGUUUAGGUUUCCGAGUGGAUCUAAAGUAUCUUGCUAUUGUUACAUUUUUGGAAGACUUAUAUGAGUUUUAACAAAUAAAGAAUAAGUUUUAUAUCAGUUUAUUUAUUGAUGCGAAGGGUCAUGAUGAAGGAAGCUCUAUGAGAAAUAAUUGAGUUGAUUUCACUCACGACGAUAUUGACUUAAGGUCUUCUAAUUUGUUAAAGAUUUGAGUUAAAUGUUUUACAAAGAAAGAUUGGUUUGGAAUCAUCCCAUUGAUUGUCAAGCAAAUUUAGGAAUAACUCACUCCAAAUUAAUUCUAGAUGUAUUGAAUUCUAGAUGAGUGGUGAAAGCUUAUGCAAUGGUUUCAAAUAUAGAAAGUGGAUCAAAAUUUUAACUUUGAUGUGGUAUGCUCAAGACAUAGCAAGGACAAAGAAACUCAAAGUUUUGCUCUAGUUCUAUUUACAAAAAAAGAAGAAAGGUUGGAUCUUUCUUAGAUUCUAAUAUAAAGUGGUAUUUUUGAAUUCAUUCGAUAAACCUAUAAAUUCGAUAAGUUUAGAUCAGAGUGCACAGCAAAAGUGUGGUGGUUUGAACUGAUUAGGAACAUUAAUUCUUUGAUUCAAAAGAUAUUAUGAUGGAAGACAUUACUUUCCAAGUAAUAAAGGAUUUUAUUAAUAAUGAAAGGAUAUACUACUGAUUCUUGAUCUAAUCUGGACAUAAUCGUGCAAUUUUUGCUAAUAAGUUAUUCUAUUGUAGACAAUGCUAAGAAGAACCAGGGACAUCUUAAGUUAAAGUUAAUGGAUUGAUGGUUCUUUGGUUAGGCUUAGACCUAGAAUGUUGUGGCAUAAAUAUCCUUCUAACUUUGCCAUCGUUACUCUAUAUGGUUGUAGAACCUUGAGGUUUUUCUAAAAUAAAAGCCUAAUUGUUAAACAUGGAUGAUGCUAAGAGAAGAAAGAAGGCUGUCAAUACUCAAGCCUUCUACUAAGGAUAGAUUGGGCCAAUAGUACUUUUUGAGUGAAAUAAGUCAAAGCAAUGAAUUUUAAGGGCAAGCAAUUAUGAUAUCUUAAUCGAAGAUUGGGAGGCUAAUAUUCUUUUGAAAGAGAAUAAGAGAAUUUGAUAUGUAAUGUAAAAUGAAAGGAUUGAGUUUUGGGAGCACAAGGAUGACAUGAUGGAUGUGUACUUUUGAAGUUUGAGCCUGAAGAUAUGCCAAGUUUCGAGGAUGAAAUUUUUUUUUUAAGAGGAGUAGAAUGUGAUAUUCGGCCCUAAAUUUUUUCCUGCAUGAAUCUUAAGGUAGCUCCUCCCCCCCCCAAAAAAAAGAAAAGAAACAGCAAUGAAGACUCCCGAUAGGAGUUUUCUUCCCCAUUGAAUCUGGGUGAAAAUCGAUCUCCUAGAACUCUCCCUCUCCCUCGUAAGCAAGCCACGAUGAGCACCGGCCUUUCUCCCUCUUCUUCUCUCUCUUUUUUUCCUUUGAAAUCGUGGACUACCCUCACCGUGUUCGUCUAAGAUCAUCGCCAGAGAUGUUGCUAAAGCCCAAGGUAAGCCCCGGACCUCUUCCUCUCCUUCUUUCCAUGCCAUUGCGCAUGGCCGCCGGCCGUCGAACCUAUCAAAAGGGCCGCCAAAAGCAAAGACCUGUUUUCUCUGUUUUAAUCGAGCCUUAUUUUUUCUUUUUCUUGCCACCAACGCUGCCGCCUGCGGUGCCGCACUUCUGGAUCAUGACCCCCGACCUCCCUACCUUCCUCCUCAGAGGUUAUGAUCGUUGGUGAUCCAAGAAAGGGAUCGGAUCCCCUAUUUAUCAUAUUUUUUCAUGAUUUUCUUGACCGACCGGUCACCACCGCUGGCCUUCCACCAUUGCCCGUCGUCGGUCGCCUGCUGUCAAUCUUAUGGCCAUGAGCGAUCGGGCCCUUUGCUCCCCCAUUCGGCCAAAAAAAGGAAGAAAAAAAAAGAGAAGAAAAGAAAAGGAAAGAAAAACAAGAAAAGGAGAGGGAAGGGAUUUUUCUCUCUCUUGUGACUCUCUUUGCUCUAUCUUUCUCUUCCUAUCUAAUCCUUGGAUCCCAGUAUGAACUUAAGAUGAUCUUUUUAAAGUGAUCUGAAAUCACUUUGAUAUCCGUGCAGUAGGUCGGUUUUCAGUCCGACCCUUGUCAGAAAUUUAUAACAUUUGAUCACUGUUAACCCUUAUUGAGUCAUCCUGACAUGAUCCCUGAUGAUCUUGAUCAUGGAUUCCUUCUUUUGAGGAAUAUGAAGACUCUCUCUCCAUUUUUUCUCUAUAUUUUCUCUCUUCAUCCACUUUCUCUCUCUAAGAAGAUCUAGGAACUCCAGUAUCGAGUCAUACCUUCUUCUUCUAGAGAUCCGUGUUGAUCCGAUAAGAAGAUCCUGAAUCGCUUUGAUGCCUGGAUAGUCUAUUGGACUGAUCACCUGAUCAACGACUUUCUUUUAUUAUUUAAUUUUAUUGAAUUAAUUGAAUGAAAAUUGAUCAUAAUUUAACAUUUUAAAUAGCAUUAUCUGAUUCAUCUAACGAAGUCUAAAGAUCUAGGAUGAACGAGGUAAGUGGAUCAUAUGCUUCUUAUUUUUUUUAAAUUAUCAUAUUUUUCAUGCAAAUAAUUUGUUGUUGAUGAAAUCAUAUUUUUCAAAAAAUAAGGAUCGGCAUAUAUGAUAUGUAAAAGCAUGUUUUAUUAUGAUCAUUGAUUGCAUGAAUAUAUUUUAUAAAAAUAGCAUGUUUAUGAAGUAUAAANNNNNNNNNNNNNNNNNNNNGCAUUAUCUGAUUCAUCUAACGAAGUCUAAAGAUCUAGGAUGAACGAGGUAAGUGGAUCAUAUGCUUCUUAUUUUUUUUAAAUUAUCAUAUUUUUCAUGCAAAUAAUUUGUUGUUGAUGAAAUCAUAUUUUUCAAAAAAUAAGGAUCGGCAUAUAUGAUAUGUAAAAGCAUGUUUUAUUAUGAUCAUUGAUUGCAUGAAUAUAUUUUAUAAAAAUAGCAUGUUUAUGAAGUAUAAAUUUUAUUGUUUUUCCAUCUAUAUACAUAUAUGUUUUAAGAAAAAGAUAUAAAGAUUUCAAAGGCUCUCAUAUAAGUAUGAAUAAAUCUCUAAAAUUGAAAAGAUCGACAUCCGAAACUAGCAUCUAUAAGAAACAUGAUCCCACCAAUGGAUAUAAAAUUGACAUAUGCAACAAGAAUUUUAUCGAUUAAGAAAUAUGACCCGAUCACGGAUAUAAAGUGACUUUAGCACGAAUAUCUAUGAGCAAUAUUUUAAAAUAUGAUAUGAAAAUCCGACAAAAAUGAUUUACUCAUCAUGUUUAUGAAAUUUUAUGAUUUAUGCAUGCAUGAUUGUUUUUAUGACUUAUUUUAUUAUAUGCUCUAUGAAAUGAUUUAUGUUUAUAAUAUCUGUUAUUUUCUAAAUAUUGCACUAUCAUGAAAAAAAUUUAUACUUGAUCUGGUAAAGAAGCGUAGAUUCUACUUACUGAGCCAGUAUAGCUCAUAUAUUUUUAUUUUUUCUUUUACAGACGAAUAAGUUUAGCACCAACGAAAGAUUUAAGCUUGGAGAUCUGCGUAGCAAGCUUGAAAAUUUUGUAUUUGAAACUUAGUUUAUGGGAUGAUUAUGGAUUUGUAGCCAAUUAUUUAUGAAUUUUGAGAUGUGAAUUUGAUAUUUGAUUUUGGAUUUAGUCGCUUUAAACCAAUUUUGAUUUAAUUAUAUGAUGAAUGAUGGAAUUAAAUCUUUUACUAUAUGUUAUUUAUGAUGAAUUUUAGUUGAUUAUGAUUGUCAAGCUUCGUGUUAUCGAGGGCAGCAUCCUUCGGUAGCAUGACCGUGUUAUGUCCCAAAUUUUGGACGUGACAACUUGAAUCCAAAAUGAUCACUCUUAUCAAAUAUGGUUUCAAUAUGAAUCAUUUUAAGAUCUGGUCAAGACAUGAAUGGAAGCAACAUGAAGGUGGUGCAAGUAGUGUAGCAUUGAAACUGUCUACAGUUAAUCAAUUACCAACAAAUAUUACUCACUGGAAAUAGACUGCUGCUACUCUUUUUCUUUUCUUUUCUUUUUUUUCCUUUUUUUUGCAGAAGAGGCUAGUAGGUAAUAAGCCGCAAAACAGGAGCAAACAGAGCCAAAAAAAAAAAUUUUGUGUCAUAACCCCUAAAUUCAUUGAAGGCAAGAUUUGAGCCAAGUUUCUGGUACAUCUUCCAAGAAAUUUUAUCAACUUAUUGGGCAAGCAUAUUUGAUGAUCACAUUUGAGAGGGGAAAAGUUCUGUAACAAUCUUGAAAAAAAAUUUCAUAUCAAAUUCCUGCAAAAAAUUAACUUGAAAAACCAUGACUUUAUUGAAGAUUAGUUAAUAGUCUCUGAUUUUGACAAACGAUUCCACUACUCAAAGAUCUUCUAACUACAGAACUGCAAACGAAAUCAAAAACAAAACUGAACAUAGCAUAGGCACAUAAACACAAAAUGACACCAUACAAAAAAUUUUAAUUAGAUUCCUUUAAUGUGCUUAAAAUGCUACCUCGGCAUUGUAUGACCUGACCAGCUGUGCUUUCAAUCUCUUCCACCUUGCGGAUUUUGGGUUGUACAGUAGUAAAUCCCCUGGAGUCAUGAACUUAAGCAAAGAAAAAAAUUGACUUUAGAAAAUUACUAGAGAACCUAAUAUUAGCAAAAAAGCAACAGAGCAGAGAACCAAAUCAAAUCUUUAAGAAAGAGGAAGUAUCUGCAUAGGAAAAAAAAAAAAAACCAUACCAACCUAUCCAACAGUAUUACUUUUAAAAAUAAUCCCAAAGCAGAAAACUAAGUGGAGAUAUCAUUGAAGAAUUUAUAACAGAAAUAUAGAAGGCUACAAACCUUGGCAUCUUAUAACUCGACUACCUCUGCUCAUAAUCUUUUCCACCCUGUGGGUUGUGGGAUGCAAGACAGGAAAUACCCUAGGAUGAAUAACUACGAAAAAAAAAAUAGUAGUAACUUUAGAAAUUAACCAGAGGGCCUCUAAUAUUAAGAAAAGAGAACUCAACCAAAUACCAAGGAAGAUUCAAAAAACAGAGCAUAGGGACAUUAAAAAAAAAAGGAAGAUCAAACCAUCCCAUUCUAUCCAAAAUCUUAGGUUCCCAAAAUGAACCCAACAUGGUGGAUUUGAAAGGCUACAAACCUCCACAUCUCAUCAAAUGACCAGCUGCCAUCGCCAUCUCUGAGACUCCUCCUCAAAUGCCUCUGGAAAGAUCAGUUUAUAUGCAACAAAACAAUGGAACUUACCAUGGUGUAGAGAGAGAAAGAGGUAUUUAUAAACCCACAGAGAGAGUGUUCAAAGAAUGCCCACAGCUAAAGCGAGAGGGUUCCACUCGGUGGGCGGAGCCGGGAAUUGGUUGCGGUGUUCCUUGUCUAGCUUCUUGUUAGCCAGAGACGUUGAGUAAGACAACGGGUUUUGGAGGUAGUAGUUGUUAGUAAACAGGGUUUUGGUUGUCUUUAUUGGUAGGGCAAUAGAUUAAGGUGGAGAGGGAGGGAGAGAGAGAGAGAGUCCCAAGGGUGUCCAAAGACAAAGCGGAAGAGUGCAGAGAAUCUAGCGCCCCUUCGCUUUCCAUGGCUUGGUGGCCGACGCCGGAAUCGGUUACGGUGUUCCUUGUCUAGCUUCUUGUUAACCGGGUACGUUGAGUAAGCCAAUGGGUUUUUGGAGGGAGUAGAUAAGGUUCCGACUUCCGAGAUUAAGGUUCCGAGAGAUUGGAUCGAGAGUGGAGCUAAUCGGGGUUUGCCCAGCCACCAGAUUUGAGGCUUUUGGGUUUCAAUCCGUUGGAUGACCCUAGUCCACUGGUUCCGACAAGGAAUGGAAUCGAUUGAGAACUAGGGUUUGGGUCUAAGGGCGAUGGGACAUUGAAUUGUGUUUGGUUUCCAAACUAGGAUUAAUUUUUUAUUGGUUUCGAAUUUUUGAUGUAGGCUGAACACAUCUUGUAAUUUUUUUUUUUUUGGUAUAAUUGGAAUAAGGAGCAAGCUCCGAAAAAGAAAGAAAAAAAAAAGGAAAACAAUUCAACGGCAAGAAUAACUAAACUCCCAAAAAACCGCAUCCAUAUGUCUCAUCUCGAAGCAAAGUACCAAGCUGAAAGGGUCCUUCAUGUUAUCCAUAUGAGAGGAUUUAUUGUUCCUUUCUACAUCUAUUGAUCCUUUUUCCAUAUGUCUUAUCUAACUCCUGUUACCCAGCAGGAGCCUUAUAGAACUUGUGUGGAAACUUGUAAUCUCAUAUUACCAUGUCUUGACCAACCAGAAUUUUGUUGUCCUCCACUCCUCAAUACCGGUGGACUGGAACAUUUUGAUAAAGUUACUGCUUAAUGCCUUUAAAAAUAAGAAAAAAGUGUUACUGGCUUAGUGCUCAAAGGAAAAGGGAUCAAUAACACUUCGACUUUUUAUGGAAAUUAUCAUUAUAAUGGAGAGACAAUAGGCUUAUGGACUACCAAUGAGAGCAAUUCAGAAACAAAAGAGCUUUUCUGACAUUAGAUCUUUAUUAAAAAAAAAAAGACCUAAUAGUUAAACCCACAAAUGUCAAACAAACAAUUCAGUAAUAUAUAAUCAUAUUUUCCUUCACUUUUUGGUCAUACAAUAAACAUAAUGAACUUCACUUAGUGAUGCAGAAAGAUGAACAUUUAAAAUUUUCUGAAUGCUUUCUUAUUUUCAUCACCUGUAUAAAUCAUGAUUCUAUAUAGUUCUUAUUUAAGAAUGUCCUUAGCAAAACCCAAGAAAUGAUUUAAUCAAAAUUUCUUGAGACUCCUGUUCGUCGACAAAAACCAAGAAGGGGGAAUCGAUCCAGAGCUAAGCCUGGUUGAAGCUUAAACCCAAUCGAACAUAUGGGACUUGGAGAGACCAGGAAAGGAGAGGGCCUAAUAUGCAAAAAAAUAUACCUAUAAAUUUAUUAAUUUAUUUUAUUGAUGAACACUAGAUCUUGGCACUGUGACCUAUUGACAGAAAGAGUUCAGCCACCUUAUGAUGCUUCCUUACAUAAAUCCAUCUGCUCUGACUUGUCUUCAUGUGUGAUAAUCUUUGCCCAGUACGUUACAGGCAUGUUUGGUUGGGGUGAGUUGGACUCUAAAAUAAAAAUAGAAAUAAAUGACUUCCAUUUCAACAAUUUAGUUAGGAUGCCUUAAUCUUGUAAAAUCUAAUCCAAACUCUCACAUAGUAUUCAAAUCCCAUUCCAAUUCCAAUAAUGAACCAAAUGCUGGGAAUAUGACCAUUCUGAUUCCCGUUCCUAUCCAUUUUGAUUUCGAUUGCAAACCUAACACACCAUUCACUGUAUUGUGAAUAUGGAUUGGACAUUUAUUCUCCUCUAAGAGAAUCCUGGAGCAGUAAAGGCCUAAAGGGGAACUUCAAAUCAAAAGUGACACUAGAGAAACUUAUGGGCAACCAUCAACAGAAUAAUCCAGCAUAAGCCUCAUCAAGGCCUUCAAGUGCCACCAUAUUUCAUACAAAACAAACCAUACCAAAAAGCUUAGGUGGCAAACGAGGAAAGAUAUCUGACUUCUCAUAAUCUCGAGAAGAAGCGCACAUCACAUAGAAAAAAAAGACAAGCGAAGUACAGACAGGGAAUAUGUAACGCAAAUUUUAUUCAUCUAGCAGAAAAGAUGAGGACACAGCUCAUCUCACAGUCAAGCUCAGUUUCCUAUUUUAUUAUAAACACAAAGGCUAAGAUUCACAUGGCACAGGAAAUGCUUUAUUUUGUAACGAGUCUCUCUCCAGAGUGGCUUUACCAAGGUGUAAACCUGCUCUAACCAUCCAUGUGAAUGAUGCACCGAAGGCUUUCCCCCUUGAGCAUGUAAUCGAAGGCCUUGUUGAUCUCGGAGAAAGGUAAACUGUGGGUGAUGAACUUCUCCAAUUCUAGCUCCUACACCAUCAAUGCAACAUGGAAUAGUGAUGAUAAGAAUCCAAUUAGAGGUACAUUUCUUCUAAGAUUAACGACCGAAAAACACAAAUAUACUAUGCUGGAAUCUAAGAAUAAAUUUUGGUGCUUUGUUAGCUAAAACUAUGACCUCAAAGUCUCUAAUCCAUUAGGAGUACCGCUUUUAGCCAUCAGCACAAAUACAUUAAGAGAUUUUUUUUAUAGAAUGAUUAGGCAGAAACUAAUCACUUUUGUGAAGCAAAACAAAGCAGUACAAUUUGAUCAAGAGAAAUUGGAAUCAUUUG
RNAcentral lists this long non-coding RNA (11915 nucleotides) under Elaeis guineensis (African oil palm). RNAcentral's name for it is "long non-coding RNA (EGUI_LNC004385)". Lineage: Eukaryota; Viridiplantae; Streptophyta; Magnoliopsida; Arecales; Arecaceae. The record is from RNAcentral.